GGCGCUCAAUGGGGCAGGGAUGUGGGGCUCAAUGGGGCUCAGUGGGGCUCAAUGGGGCCCAAUGGUUCUCAGUGGGGCUCAAUGGGGCUGAGAUGUGGGGCUGGGAGUGUGGGGCUGAGAUGUGGGGCUCAAUGGGGCUCAGUGGGGCUCAAUGGGGCUCAGUGGGGUUCAAUGGGGCUCAGUGGGGCUCAAUGGGGCAGGGAUGUGGGGCUCAAUGGGGCUGAGAUGUGGGGCAGGGAUGUGGGGGGCUGGGAUGUGGGGCUCAAUGGGGCCCAAUGGUUCUCAGUGGGGCUCAGUGGGGCUCAAUGGGGCUCAGUGGGGCAGGGAUGUGGGGCUCAGUGGGGCUUAGUGGGGCUCAAUGGGGCAGGGAUGUGGGGUUCAAUGGGGCACAAUGGUUCUCAGUGGGGCCCAGUGGGGUUCAAUGGGGCUCAGUGGGGCUCAAUGGGGCAGGGAUGUGGGGCUCAAUGGGGCCCAAUGGUUCUCAGUGGGGCUCAAUGGGGCCCAAUGGUUCUCAGUGGGGCUCAGUGGGGCUCAAUGGGGCUGAGAUGUGGGGCUGGGAGUGUGGGGCUGAGAUGUGGGGCUCAAUGGGGCUCAGUGGGGCAGAGAUGUGGGGCUCAAUGGUGCUGAGAUGUGGGGCUGGGAGUGUGGGGCAGGGAUGUGGGGCUCAGUGGGGCUCAGUGGGGCAGGGAGUGGGGGGCUCAAUGGGGCUCAAUGGGGCAGGGAUGUGGGGCUCAAUGGGGCCCAAUGUUUCUCAAUGGUCUCAAUGUUUCUCAAUGGGGCUCAGUGGUUCUCAAUGGGGCUCAAUGGGGCUCAGUGGAGUAGGGAUGUGGGGCUCAAUGGGUCCCAAUGGGGCUCAAUGGAGCUCAGUGGGGCAGGGAUAUGGGGCUCAAUGGGGCCCAAUGGUUCUCAAUGGGGCCCAAUGUUUCUCUAUGGGUCCCAGUGUUUCUCAAUGGGGCUCAGUGGGGCAGGGAUGUGGGGCUCAAUGGGUCCCAAUGUUUCUCUAUGGGUCCCAGUGUUUCUCUAUGGGUCCCAGUGUUUCUCAGUGGGUCCCAGUGUUUCUCUAUGGGUCCCAAUGUUUCUCUAUGGGGCUCAGUGGGGCUCAAUGGGGCCCAAUGUUUCUCAAUGGGGCCGAAUGUUCCUCAAUGGGGCUCAGUGUUUCUCUAUGGGGCUCAAUGGGGCAGGGAUGUGGGUCUCAAUGGGUCCCAAUGUUUCUCUAUGGGUCCCAAUGUUUCUCUAUGGGUCCCAGUGUUCCUCUAUGGGUCCCAGUGUUUCUCUAUGGGGCUCAGUGGGGCUCAGUGGGUCCCAGUGCUUCUCUAUGGGGCCCAAUGUUUCUCAAUGGGGCCCAAUGUUCCUCAAUGGGGCUCAGUGUUUCUCUAUGGGGCUCAGUGGGGCAGGGAUGUGGGUCUCAAUGGGUCACAAUGUUUCUCUGUGGGUCCCAAUGUUUCUCUAUGGGGCUCAGUGGUGUUCAGUGGGUCCUAGUGUUUCUCAAUGGGGCCCAAUGUUUCUCUAUGGGGCUCAGAGGGGCUCAAUGGGGCCCAAUGUUUCUCAAUGGGGCCCAAUGUUUCUCAAUGGGGCCCAAUGUUCCUCAGUGGGGCUCAGUGUUUCUCUAUGGGGCUCAGUGGGGCUCAGUGGGUCCCAGUGUUUCUCAAUGGGGCUCAGUGGGGCAGGGAUGUGGGUCUCAAUGGGUCCCAAUGUCUCUCUAUGGGUCCCAAUGUUUCUCUAUGGGUCCCAGUGUUUCUCAGUGGGUCCCAAUGUUUCUCUAUGGGGCUCAGUGGGGCAGGGAUGUGGGUCUCAAUGGGUGCUAA
Molecule: long non-coding RNA, 1805 nt
Organism: Coturnix japonica (Japanese quail)
Lineage: Eukaryota; Metazoa; Chordata; Aves; Galliformes; Phasianidae
Source: Ensembl